ACCUAUGGCCAUACUUCACUGAGCAUACCCCUUCUUGUCUGAUAACAGAAGCUAAGCAGGGUUGGACCUAAAAUAGUACUUGGAUGAAAGACUGUGUGGAAAUACAGAAUUAGAUAAACUGGACAGCUAUGCAUG
Molecule: ribosomal RNA, 135 nt
Filed under: Meriones unguiculatus (Mongolian gerbil)
Lineage: Eukaryota; Metazoa; Chordata; Mammalia; Rodentia; Muridae
Source: RNAcentral